Molecule: ribosomal RNA, 253 nt
Filed under: Labilithrix sp.
Lineage: Bacteria; Pseudomonadati; Myxococcota; Polyangiales; Labilitrichaceae
Also listed under: 2 other names
Description: partial 16S ribosomal RNA
Rfam family: Bacterial small subunit ribosomal RNA
Source: RNAcentral
GACAGAGGGUGCAAACGUUGUUCGGAAUUACUGGGCGUAAAGCGUGUGUAGGCGGCUAGGUAAGUCGGAUGUGAAAGCCCCGGGCUCAACUCGGGAAGUGCACUCGAUACUGCUUAGCUCGAGUACCGGAGAGGUUGGUGGAAUUCUCGGUGUAGAGGUGAAAUUCGUAGAUAUCGAGAGGAACACCGGUGGCGAAGGCGGCCAACUGGACGAGUACUGACGCUGAGACACGAAAGCGUGGGGAGCAAACAGG